UUGGCUUUGGUGUUUUGUUUUGUUGC
Molecule: non-coding RNA, 26 nt
Filed under: Mus musculus (house mouse)
Lineage: Eukaryota; Metazoa; Chordata; Mammalia; Rodentia; Muridae
Source: RNAcentral